UACGAAGGGGGCUAGCGUUGCUCGGAAUCACUGGGCGUAAAGCGCACGUAGACGGCUUUCUAAGUCAGGGGUGAAAUCCUGGAGCUCAACUCCAGAACUGCCUUUGAUACUGGAGCUUGAGUCCGGGAGAGGUGAGUGGAACUCCGAGUGUAGAGGUGAAAUCGUAGAUAUUCGGAAGAACACCAGUGGCGAAGGCGGCUCACUGGCCCGGUACUGACGCUGAGGUGCGAAAGCGUGGGGAGCAAACAGGG
RNAcentral lists this ribosomal RNA (251 nucleotides) under uncultured bacterium. Its description in RNAcentral is "partial 16S ribosomal RNA". It matches the Rfam family "Bacterial small subunit ribosomal RNA", at positions 524 to 777 of the family's 1533-position model. The record is from RNAcentral.